RNAcentral lists this long non-coding RNA (655 nucleotides) under Anser cygnoides (Swan goose). RNAcentral describes it as "lncRNA (ENSACDG00005012032.1)". The record is from RNAcentral. Lineage: Eukaryota; Metazoa; Chordata; Aves; Anseriformes; Anatidae.
CCAGCUUGGUGGGCAUAGCAGAGCAUGACCCCUUCCAUUAAGGAGCUGCUCUCCAAGGAGAUGAAGAUGUGUGAGGAAAGUAUGAUAAUGUUAAUAUCUGUUACUAUCAGCAUAGGGUCUGGGGUUGCUAACAAGGAUGCUGAUAUGCAGGGUGAAACUGUGAUAAACAGUAAACUUUAAACAUGUAUGAUCUGUGAAAGAAAGGGCAUCUUUUCUGGUAGUGUGAACCAGAAAAAUGUUGCUUUGAAAGAUUAGAAGACCAGUAGAAGAAUGGUAGCUAACAGGAGAAUGCAGGGCGUUGGGUAGAGAUGGCAGUGGGAUACUGAUGUUUGCACAAGUGGCAUUGCAACUAUGUAAAUAUGUACAUCUUUCCACAGAACAGAUAAUAAUGUGUCUAACCCUUCACUGGGUCCUACCUUUGCAUAAGCAGAUCUGUGCAAACUGUAGGUUGCUGGAAAAUAAGGACACUAUCACAGAAUGUUUAAGGGCACCUUACUACCUCCAAAUUGAGUUGGUAGGACAAUAUCUCAAAAUGUCAGAGGUAUCCAAACAACAACCAGCUGAAGUAAUCACCUCUUGUCUGAUGGAGACUUGUUGGCACAGAUAACCUCUCUACAUGCAGAAUAUUUCAAUAAAUUGUAUGGAAUCCAGUACA